This 388-nucleotide ribosomal RNA is filed under the name uncultured bacterium. RNAcentral describes it as "bacterial SSU rRNA". It matches the Rfam family "Bacterial small subunit ribosomal RNA", at positions 30 to 414 of the family's 1533-position model. The record is from RNAcentral.
AUUGAACGCUGGCGGCAUGCUUUACACAUGCAAGUCGAACGGCAGCACGGGUGCUUGCACCUGGUGGCGAGUGGCGGACGGGUGAGUAAUACAUCGGAACGUGUCCAGAAGAGGGGGAUAACGCAUCGAAAGAUGUGCUAAUACCGCAUAUGCUCUGAGGAGGAAAGUAGGGGAUCGAAAGACCUUACGCUUUUGGAGCGGCCGAUGUCUGAUUAGCUAGUUGGUGGGGUAAGGGCCGUACCAAGGCGACGAUCAGUAGUUGGUCUGAGAGGACGACCCAGCCACACUGGGACUGAGACACGGCCCAGACUCCUACGGGAGGCAGCAGUGGGGAAUUUUGGACAAUGGGCGCAAGCCUGAUCCAGCAAUGCCGCGUGAGUGAAGAAGG